CCUACGGGAGGCAGUAGGGAAUUUUCGUCAAUGGGCGCAAGCCUGAACGAGCAAUGCCGCGUGAACGAGGAAGGUCUUCGGAUCGUAAAGUUCUGUUGAAGGGGAAAAAGAGCGGAGAGAGGAAAUGGUCUCCGAUUGAUAUUACCCUUCGAGGAAGUCACGGCUAACUACGUGCCAGCAGCCGCGGUAAUACGUAGGUGGCGAGCGUUAUCCGGAAUGAUUGGGCGUAAAGGGUGCGUAGGCGGCCUGCUAAGUCUGGAGUGAAAGGUACCGGCUCAACCGGUAUAGGCUCUGGAAACUGGCGG
This 305-nucleotide ribosomal RNA is filed under the name uncultured bacterium. RNAcentral describes it as "bacterial SSU rRNA". It matches the Rfam family "Bacterial small subunit ribosomal RNA", at positions 338 to 639 of the family's 1533-position model. The record is from RNAcentral.